RNAcentral lists this transfer RNA (73 nucleotides) under Ailuropoda melanoleuca (giant panda). It matches the Rfam family "tRNA". From Rfam's summary of the family: Transfer RNA (tRNA) molecules are approximately 80 nucleotides in length. Lineage: Eukaryota; Metazoa; Chordata; Mammalia; Carnivora; Ursidae. The record is from Rfam by way of RNAcentral.
GCCUGGCUGGCUCAGUCGGUAGAGCAUUUGACUCUUGAUCUCAGUAUCGUGAGUUCAAGCCCCAUGUUGGGUG